This 253-nucleotide ribosomal RNA is filed under the name uncultured bacterium. RNAcentral's name for it is "partial 16S ribosomal RNA". It matches the Rfam family "Bacterial small subunit ribosomal RNA", at positions 524 to 776 of the family's 1533-position model. The record is from RNAcentral.
UACAGAGGGUGCAAGCGUUAAUCGGAAUUACUGGGCGUAAAGCGCGCGUAGGUGGUUCGUUAAGUUGGAUGUGAGAUCCCCGGGCUCAACCUGGGAACUGCAUUCAAAACUGUCGAGCUAGAGUAUGGUAGAGGGUGGUGGAAUUUCCUGUGUAGCGGUGAAAUGCGUAGAUAUAGGAAGGAACACCAGUGGCGAAGGCGACCACCUGGACUGAUACUGACACUGAGGUGCGAAAGCGUGGGGAGCAAACAGG